CUGGACUCCAACUUAGUGCUCCACGAUCUGGCCAUCGAGUUGAACUGAUAAGCCUGCUGGUGGUACUUGAUCUGUUGUGCUGCUGCUGGGUUUGCCGGUGCAGAGCAGGAGCGAGGAUCCGAGCGCUCCGUUCCGAACUCCAGCGAGGAUCACUCCAGACCUCCAUCGAGCAGGCCUAGUUCACAUAUGUUUUCAGCGCCACCAUGAACUCCGGCUCUCCCGCAUAGCCACAGCCGCCACGGGACAAGCGCCGCCACAGGAGUUCACAUGCCCCCGCCGCGGUAGUUCACGUCGCUCUCCGCAGCGAGCAUGUGCAGUUCUACCUUCAGAUUCCAAUGUGCUCAGUUCUAACUGCAAGUAGAGCACCACAAGAGUUCAUUGUGCCUCCCUCAGUAGUCCGUUGUGCGUAGCCGGGAAGUCCACGCGCGCAUACACUGGCAGUCCUGUGCGUGCUUCCGGGGAGUAAAACUACAAUACACCGAUGUUUAGCCGCUGAUUCACAUGCGUGUCCUCUGAACCGUUGAUUCUUAGUUCUGCAAUUAAUACUUGUCUUAGCUUGUUUUGGGGUGAUGUAUUGCAAAUUGCAGGGAUAAAAAUAGGUUAAUGGCUUGCUGUGAUUUCUCCACUCUAGCUUAUAAAGGUGCACGACACCUACUCUGUGGCGCACAGUUGGUUGUGGUUCAGACAAAUAGAGUCGUGGAGUUCAGAAAGAGACCAGCAUGUGUGAAGUUUAGAGACAUGCCUUGACGGAGUUAUUCUGAAUUGUAAUCUGUAGUCAUUGAAUAUCUGGUAGCAUCUCAAGUUCAGGAAACUACAGCUCUUUACAGUUUUAUCUUGUAUAUGAUCAUUUCGUCUCCAAGAGGAAAUUCACUCCGCAUAUAGUUUAUUUUGGUUGUAAAAUUCUACCAAAGUGGAAGUUAAUAUAUUUUUGUGUUGUACACUUCUCUGAAA
This is a long non-coding RNA of Lolium rigidum, 951 nucleotides long. RefSeq lists it as uncharacterized. Lineage: Eukaryota; Viridiplantae; Streptophyta; Magnoliopsida; Poales; Poaceae. The transcript has 4 exons. The record is from RefSeq and is a predicted model, not a curated record.